This 27-nucleotide small RNA is filed under the name Bombyx mori (domestic silkworm). Its description in RNAcentral is "ovarian small RNA-1790". Lineage: Eukaryota; Metazoa; Arthropoda; Insecta; Lepidoptera; Bombycidae. The record is from RNAcentral.
GCUGAAAGUGAGCACGGAAGGUCCAAC